Molecule: unclassified non-coding RNA, 285 nt
Filed under: Hevea brasiliensis (rubber tree)
Lineage: Eukaryota; Viridiplantae; Streptophyta; Magnoliopsida; Malpighiales; Euphorbiaceae
Source: RNAcentral
UUACCCUUUGUCUUCUGAGGUGAGCAGUGCCCUAUUUCUAAAAAUAGCUAUUCCAUCAGGACUCAUUCCAUUGGUUGGUGCACUAAUAUGAAGAAUUGCUAUGGAAUGCACUACUUUUAGUAAUUGAUGAAAUAUUUCUUUCCAAGCGGAAUAGGUUCAAUUAAUAUGGAUACAAUUGACCACCCCUGUCUUAUUCACACGAUCACAUCUCCGUUCCCAAAAUAUUCCCCUUUACCAACUUUCUGGCAUAAUCAACAAACAAUUCUCACUUUUUUUUUUUUUUGA